UGGGGAAUUUUGGACAAUGGGCGAAAGCCUGAUCCAGCAAUGCCGCGUGUGUGAAGAAGGCCUUCGGGUUGUAAAGCACUUUUGUCCGGAAAGAAAUCCUUGGCUCUAAUACAGUCGGGGGAUGACGGUACCGGAAGAAUAAGCACCGGCUAACUACGUGCCAGCAGCCGCGGUAAUACGUAGGGUGCAAGCGUUAAUCGGAAUUACUGGGCGUAAAGCGUGCGCAGGCGGUUUGCUAAGACCGAUGUGAAAUCCCCGGGCUAACCUGGGAACUGCAUUGGUGACUGGCAGGCUAGAGUAUGGCAGAGGGGGGUAGAAUUCCACGUGUAGCAGUGAAAUGCGUAGAGAUGUGGAGGAAUACCGAUGGCGAAGGCAGCCCCCUGGGCCAAUACUGACGCUCAUGCACGAAAGCGUGGGGAGCAAACAGGAUUAGAUACCCUGGUAGUCCACGCCCUAAACGAUGUCAACUAGUUGUUGGGGAUUCAUUUCCUUAGUAACGUAGCUAACGCGUGAAGUUGACCGCCUGGGGAGUACGGUCGCAAGAUUAAAACUCAAAUGAAUUGACGGGGU
This 570-nucleotide ribosomal RNA is filed under the name uncultured bacterium. Its description in RNAcentral is "partial 16S ribosomal RNA". It matches the Rfam family "Bacterial small subunit ribosomal RNA", at positions 355 to 919 of the family's 1533-position model. The record is from RNAcentral.